This 585-nucleotide ribosomal RNA is filed under the name uncultured bacterium. Its description in RNAcentral is "partial 16S ribosomal RNA". It matches the Rfam family "Bacterial small subunit ribosomal RNA", at positions 355 to 1375 of the family's 1533-position model. The record is from RNAcentral.
UGGGGAAUUUUGGACAAUGGGCGAAAGCCUGAUCCAGCAAUGCCGCGUGUGUGAAGAAGGCCUUCGGGUUGUAAAGCACUUUUGUCCGGAAAGAAAUCCUUGGCUCUAAUACAGUCGGGGGAUGACGGUACCGGAAGAAUAAGCACCGGCUAACUACGUGCCAGCAGCCGCGGUAAUACGUAGGGUGCAAGCGUUAAUCGGAAUUACUGGGCGUAAAGCGUGCGCAGGCGGUUUGCUAAGACCGAUGUGAAAUCCCCGGGCUCAACCUGGGAACUGCAUUGGUGACUGGCAGGCUAGAGUAUGGCAGAGGGGGGUAGAAUUCCACGUGUAGCAGUGAAAUGCGUAGAGAUGUGGAGGAAUACCGAUGGCGAAGGCAGCCCCCUGGGCCAAUACUGACGCUCAUGCACGAAAGCGUGGGGAGCAAACAGGAUUAGAUACCCUGGUAGUCCACGCCCUAAACGAUGUCAACUAGUUGUUGGGGAUUCAUUUCCUUGGUAACGUAGCUAACGCGUGAAGUUGACCGCCUGGGGAGUACGGUCGCAAGAUUAAAACUUAAAUGAAUUGACGGGGUCAUAGCUGUUUCCU